This is an RNA transcript of Vicia villosa (hairy vetch), 12431 nucleotides long. It is a transcript of the gene named probable lipid phosphate phosphatase beta, with no coding region annotated. The record is from RefSeq and is a predicted model, not a curated record. Lineage: Eukaryota; Viridiplantae; Streptophyta; Magnoliopsida; Fabales; Fabaceae. The transcript is spliced from 3 exons.
CCCACAGGUAAAAAAGAUCUUAAAAAAAAUAAUAAACCACAAAACGGCGUCGUUGAGAACGCCUAAACGUUCAGGUUCGUUAGAACACAUGUCCAAUCAGUAACAGCCACCUCUUUCUGAAUAGCCCUGUCAGCGACUGCAAUGGGCCGUAAACCACGCAAAUCCACAGCCGUAUCCCCACCGUUACUCCGCCGCAUCGCAUCUCUUGACGACCGCAUCUCCCGCUACAUCCACACCUUCACAAGUCCCCUCGCCCCUAAACCCCUCCUCCGCUCCCUAGAACACCUCGCCGAUUUCCGUUUAUUCUUCCCUGUAACACUCUCACUCUUCUUUGCCACUCCCUCUCACUCUCCGCUCCGUCCCCACCUCCUCCUCCCUCUCAUCCUCUGUUCCCUCCUCGAUCUCAUCUUCAUAGGCUUCCUCAAGUUCCUAGUUCGUAGACCUCGUCCUUCAUACGCCAUCCACGGCGACUACAACGCGGUUGUUCCCGUUGAUAAAUUCUCCUUUCCGAGCGGUCACUCCUCCAGAGUGUGUUUCAUUGCGUCGAUCUUUUCAUUCUCCCGCGCUCGGAUCGUUGAAGCUGUCGCUGAUCCUAGCCAUCCGCGGCUUGCUUUGCUCAUUCAAAGGUGGAUCGAGGAGGGAGACGAAGCUAUGGCGAUUAAUCUGUUAGUUGCUGCGGUUUGGUCUUGGGCUCUGACGACGGUUGUUUCUAGGGUUGUUCUUGGAAGGCAUUAUGUUCUCGAUGUCGGAUUCGGGGCUUGCAUCGGUGUUCUGGAAGCUUUGUUCACCUUGCAUUUUCUCAAUUUCAGUGUUUUGAUUUGAGGACCAGAACUCGGGGAAGAUGAUUGAAACUGCUAGAGAGAUGAAUGAAUUGUAUUACUUUGAUGAAACUCCUCUUGGAAAUGCAAUGGUUUUGGUUUAAAAAGUGAAACUUUACCUCCUGUUUCGGAUCAAGUUAUGUUAUGGCAUAAAAGAUUAGGCCAUCCUAGUUUCCCUUAUCUUAAGUAUUUAUUUUCAAAAUUUUCCAAAAAAAUAAAUUCCUCACAAUUUCAUUGUGAAGCUUGUCACUUAGCUAAAGAUCAUCAUGUGUCUUAUACUUCAAAAGUUUAUUCUGCUUCGCAACCUUUUUAUUUAAUCCAUUGUGAUGUUUGGGGUCCUUAAAAAAUUAAAACUAUUUCCGAAAAAAAAUUGUUUGUGACAUUUAUUGAUGACCAUACACGUGUGUGUUGGGUUUAUCUCUUAGAAAAAAAUCUGAAGUGGAACAAAUGAUUGAAAACCAAUUUCAAACUAAGAUUGGUAUUCUAAGGUCUGACAAUGACACUGAAUAUUUCAACAAAUAUCUAAGUACAUUCCUAGUAGCUAAGGGGAUAAUUCAUCAAUCCACUUAUUGUGAUACUCCACAACAAAACGGUAUUGCUGAAAGAAAAAAUAGACAUCUUCUCGAAGUUACUAGAGCUAUUAUGUUUUCUAUGAAUGUAUAUCUAAAUAUCUUUGGGGAAAUGCCUUAUUAACUGCUUGUUACCUCAUAAAUAGAAUGUCAUCUCGUGUUUUAAAAUAUGAGACUCCUGUGCAAGUUUUACAAAAUUAUUUUCCCACAUCUCGCAUCAUUGCGGAUCUUCCCUUUAAAGUUUUUGGUUGUCUUUGUUAUGUCUACAUCCCAAAUAUUUUCCGUUUCAAAUUGGAUCGUAAAGCUGAAAAAUGUGUUUUUCUUGGCUACGCUUCAAAUAAAAGGGUUACAAAUGUUUUAACCCAAUAACAAAGAAUUUUUUUGAAAGUAUGGAUGUCAAUUUUGUUGAAAAUUAACAUUUUUUUUUAAUAAAAGUUCUCUUCAGGGGGAGAAUCGUUGUGUUGAUAAAGAAGAUAAUUUUUGGGAAACUUUACCUGUAUUGGAUGAUAUUGUGACUACAAAUCAUCCAGAACCCAGACUGCUUAAUCUUGAAUUGUCGGAUAAUAUAAUGUCUGAAAUGGGGGGAGAAAACUGAUUGAGGAUCAUAAUCCUCAACUUCAAGUGUAUGUCCGAAAAAGGUUUCACAAAGGUAUUACAUAUUCAAUUGUCUCUCUGGAAGAAAUCCAAUCUGAUUUGCCAAGUGAAGGUCCUAUUGAAACUUCACCUUCUAGUUCUUCAUCUGGUAAUCCAUCUUACUCUUCCAAUGAUUUACUAUUUGUCUUUUCCUGGUAUGAAUCUUCCUAUUGCUUUGAGAAAAAAAUUCCUGACCUUAAUAUCCCAAUUGCUGAUAGGAAUGUACUCGAACAUGCACUAAACACCUCAUGUCUAAUUACUUGUCAUAUGACAAGUUAUCACACUCACAAGGCAUAUGUGUCUAGGAUUUCGAAUUUGUUUGUGCCCAUAACUAUUCAAGAAGUAUUAGGUGAUCCGAAUUGGAAAUUAGCAGUGAAAGAAGAAAUGGAUGCUCUAAGGACAAAUAAUACUUGGAGCAUCACUGUUCUACCUCGUAACAAAAGGGCAGUUGGAUGUAAAUGGGUCUUUACAAUGAAAUGCAAGGCUGAUGGAAACGUAGAAAAGUACAAAGCAAGACUAGUAGCAAAAGGUUUUACUCAAACUCAUGGUAUAGACUACCAAGAGACCUUUGCCCCUAUUGCUAAGAUUAAUUCCAUCAGAAUUCUUCUCUCUUGCAGUAAAUUUCAAUUGGACACUACAUCAAUUUGAUGUUAAAAAUGCUUUUUUGAAUGGAGAAUUACAUGAAGUAUAUAUGAGUUUACCUCCUGGAUUUGAAGAAAAUCUUGGACGGGACAAAGUCUGCAAAUUGAAAAAAAUCCUUAUAUGGAUUAAAACAAUCACCAAGGGCCUGGUUUGAAAGAUUUGGAAGUGUUGUUUAGAAACAUGGUUUCACCCAAAGUCAAGCAGAUCACACAUUGUUCUUUAAACAUUCAGAUGAAGGUAAGAUUGCUAUUUUAAUUGUGUAUGUCGAUGACAUUAUCAUGAUAGGAGAUGAUGUUAACGAGAUAGGUGAUCUAAAGAGAAGACUUGAAGCUGAAUUUGAUAUCAAGGACCUUGGAAAAUUAAAGCAUUUUCUCGGGAUGGAGUUUGCAAGGUCUAAGGAGGGAAUCUUUCUCAACCAACGCAAAUAUAUACUUGAUUUACUCACAAAAACAGGGAUGACAGGGUGUAAAGCAGCAGAAACACUAAUGGAUCCCAAUGUAAAACUGAAGGCAGCAUCUAAAGAUGAAGUGGUAAAUAGGGAACGCUACCAACGACUGGCCGGUAGAUUAAUUAUUUGUCUCAUACAAGGCCUGAUGUAGCCUUUGCAGUAAGUGUGGUAAGUCAGUUUAUGGAUGCACCAGGACCUACUCAUUUUGAAGCUAUUUGCAGAACAUUGAGAUAUUUAAAAGGAACUCCAGGGAAGGGAUUGAUGUUAAAAAACAACGGGCAUAUACAAGUGGAAGCUCACACAGAUGCUGAUUGGGCGGGUAAUAUAAAUGAUAGGAGGUCUACUUCAGGCUAUUGUACUUUUGUAGGUGUAAACUUAGUUACAUGGAGAAGUAAAAAACAAAAUGUUGUAGCUAGGAACAGUGCAGAGGCUGGAUUCCGCUCAAUGGCCCAUGGUUUUUGUGAAGUAUUAUGGAUUAAAAAAUUUAUGGAGGAAUUAAAGGUCUCUAGCCCAACACCAAUUAAAGUCUAUUGUGAUAAUAAGACAGCUAUUUCCAUUGCCUAUAAUCUUGUCCUACACGACAGAACGAAACAUGUUGAAGUGGACAAGCACUUCAUCAAAGAAAAAAUGGACAGUGGUGAAAUUUGUAUGUCCUAUGUACCUACCUCAAGUCAAGUAGCAGAUGUUCUCACAAAGAGUCUUCAUAAGAGACAAUUUGAUGAUAUGGUGAGCAAGAUUGCAAUGAAUGAUAUAUUCAUGCCAACUUGAGGGGGAAUGUUGGAAGUUAUUAGAGAGAUAAGUACAGAAUCAACAGAUUUUGUGUUAAACAGCUCAGGAUAGUAUUCAUUGUAAAUAAUAAUCAGUCAUUAGCUAUUAAGAAUUAGUAAUUAGUUGUCUUCUACCAUAUUUAGAAUUAGCAUUUAAAGGGAGAAUAAUGGCUCUGAUUCUCAAGCCAGAAUUAGGAUUAUUGAUUUGUUCUUGUAUUCUAUAAAUACCUUUCAUGUAUUACUUACUGAUAUAUCAAAGAAAUACAGAUUAUUUGUUUCUUUAAAACCAUUUCAUGAACGUAAUUUGUUUAAAUAGUUUUUUUUUUCAAUCCUGCCUAUGUUAUCUUUGUUAUGCUUAGUCGGUCCCAAGCGCAAAUAAAAAGAGAGGGUUGUGUUAGAUAGUCUAAACCAAUGUAAAACUUUGUCGAAUCUCUAUGACUUGGAUUAAAUAUAUAAUAAUGUGGUUAGAGUACAAUGACAAAUGAGCAAGGGACACUGCAUUGCCGUCUGAAUGCAGUGAAAAAUUAGGAAAGGUUCCCAUAUUUUAGUAUGGUUCAAAAAAAUAGUUCAUGAGAGUAGGAUUUGCUUUAGAACAUGAACUAUUGGCAUGUUUACCGGAAAAUCUAUGGAAAUAGUGGAAACUAUGCUUAAGAGGAAGAUCAAUUUCACGUGCCUACCAGUAACUAAGUGAACAGGUGAAAGAAUUAGACAUUUCAAAAUUUGAGAUUUGGUACACAAAGUUAGAUCGAGAAAUAGGGCCGGGAUUAAUGUAGACAAGGAGUGGAAGAAAAAUAUUGUGGAUGUAAAGAGAGUUGGAGAUGAGAUCGUAGUCCUGAAAUUUGUAAUGAAAAAAAACACCUUUAAUGUUAUUAGUGCUUACAUACCUUAGGUUGGGUUAACAGAACACCUUAAAGUAAACUUUUAGAAGAAUUUAGAAGGCUAUACUCCAAAGAGAGAUAUUUUUCCUAGGAGAGGAUCUAAAUUUGACAUGUAGGAAGUGUAGCCAUUGGUUUUAAGGGUAUGCGUGAGGGGUAUGGUCUCGAAGAGAUAAAUGCAGAGGCUAAAUCCAUCAUAGAUUUUUUUGUCGUCUUUUGGUCUUACCAUAAUGCAUGCUUUAGGAUGAUAGAUGCUUCUUCAUGUGAAAUAUUAUUUUUAUUUCCCUUGCUAUAAAUAGAAGGUGAUAGACAAAGCUAACAAUUAAUUCCUACCAUUAAUUCUUAUAAAUACAAAAGGAAAGAGUCAUGAAUAUGUAAAUAAAUGGGAUAUCAAUUCCUGAAUUUCUGUGCAAGAAUUAUUGUCAUAUGGUGGUUGUUAUGAUAUGUCGUAAAGGGUGCAGAUCAGUAGAUGAUAUGGAAUUAAUUCCAUAUCCAUAUUCCACACUUCCCCUCAAGUUAGGUCAUAGGUGUCAAUCAUGCCUAGCUUCAAUCUUAAGCUCUCAAAGUUUGCUCGAAGUAACACCUCGGUCAAAAUGUCCGCAGGUUGAUGAUUUGAAGGUGUGUGCUUACUUUUCAUUAUUCCAUCAUAAAUCUUCUUCUUUAUAAAGUGUCAAUCAAUUUCCACAUGUUUGGUUUUGUUAUAGUGUACAAGAUUUUUUGCAAUACUAAUGGUUGCUUUAUUAUCGCACAAUAGAUUUCAUGGUGUAAUCAGUUUGGACUUUAAGUUCUUCACGCAUCCUUUGUAACCAUAUUCCUUCACAAAUUCCACGAGUCAUGGAUCUGAACCUAGCUUAAGCACUGCUCCUAGCAACCACAAAUUGUUUCUUACUUCUCCAAGUUAUUAUAUUCCCCCAAACGAAUGAGCAAUACUCGCUUGUUGACCUCUGACCUGUCACUGGACCAUACCUAUUCGCAUAUGUAAAUAUUUCUACAUCUUUGCUUCUAUGAGACACAAUCCCCUUCCUAGUAUGCUAAAUUGUUUAUCACUUAUACUUGCAGUUUAAGGUUGUUGUAAAAGAAUGACUUCAUCAUAUGAGAAUAUUUUUCACAAAAUAAUACGCUUACAAAUCAUCUUCGUCAUCUUCAAAACCAUCAUCAGUUAGUAAGAAGCUUUCAAUAUUAUUGUAUAGAAAUUAAUUGUUUUGAUUGUUGACUAAAAUUCAUUGAUACAUCUUAUUCGGUCUGUGAAGGGUCAUCCGAGGUUAGUACAACCUAGAGAUCUUGAAAUAUCCAAGAAGCGAAUACGUUCAGCGACAACUCCAACAUCUACCUAUGUGACAUCUUCAAUAAUCCCUCUGCCAAUCCAAACUACAAUAAUCCCUCUGUCAAUCCAGACAAUACCAACUAUCCAUAUUACUACACCAAAAACAACAAUAACCCCCUUCGCCAGUUUAAACUACAUAACCAUCAUUUUCUUCAGAGACAUUUCCUCAUCAUGACAUUUCACCCCCUCACUCUAAAGAUGUUGUAGUAGAAAACGAGACCAAAGUUGUUCAUGUGGCUACUUCUUAAUAUUGGGAUGUAAAUGUUAUUAGAUUGUAAUUUAGGGUUCAAGUUUCUUUAAAUAAUUUAAAUAUAUUGCGUAGUUGUGUUAUGACAUUUUUUGUUUAUUUUUUUGUGUGAUAUAUGAGGCGGGUCAUAUUUCAAAUGCACAUUUAUGUGUAUAAUACUUGAUUGAAAAAACUCCUGAUUAAACGAGGAUAAUAAUUAAAUGGAAUUCAAAUCGUCUCCCAGUACGAUCAUCUGCUGGUUUGUUAGCAAAGUAUUUGGAUAGGUUUGUUAGGUUGUUUCAAGACUUUCUCGUAAUGUUCGAUUUUGACAAGUGAUUUAAAAAAUAUUUAGUUGUUUAUUAAUGAUACUUUUAUCUUUGUAUCAUAAAACUUUGUUUUAUAAUCACUUGGAAUUUCCUUCCAAUUAUCGAACAUUAUGGAAAAGUCUUGAAACAAUCUAACAACUCUACCUAAAUACCUUGCUAACAAACGAGCAGAUGAUUACUGGGAGACGAUUUGAAUUCUAUCUAAUUAUUAUUAUGACCCACACAUAAACGUGUGUUUGAAAUAUGACCCUCCUCUUCUAUCUCAUAAAAAAAAAAUAAACAAUUUUUUUUUUAUAACUCAACUAUGUAAUACAUUUAAAUUAUUUAAAGAAACUUUAAUCCUAAAUUACUUAGUAACAACAUUUACAUCCCAAUAUUGAGAAGUAGCUGCAUGAACAAUUUCGGUUUCAUCUCCUACCACAACAUCUUCAGAAUGAAGGGAUGAAAUAGCAUGAUAAGAAAAUGUUUCUGAAGAAUGAGGAUUCUGUAGGGUUAUUGUUAUUGGUGUAGUAACAUGGGUAGUUGAUGUAGUUUGGAUUGGCGGAAAGGUUAUUGUAGUUUGGAUUGACGUAGAGAUUAUUGAUGAUGUAAAAUAGGUAGAUAUUGGAGUUAUCGCUGAAGGCAGGCGCUUCGUGGAUAUUUCAAGAUCUCCAGUUUGUACAAAUCUCAGAUGACUCUUCACAGACUAAAUAAGAUGCAUCGAUGAAUUUUAAUCAACAAUCAAAACAAAUAAUUUCUAUAGAGUAAUAUUGAGAGUUUAUUACUAAUUGAUGAUGAUUUUGAAGAAAACUAAGAUGAUUUGUAAGCGUAUUGUUUUGUGGAGAAUGUCCUCAUAUGAUUAAGUCAUUUUUCACAUCAAGCUUAAAUUGUAAGUAUAGGUGAUAUUGUGAUAAACAAGUCAGGACAUUAAAAGUUAAGUGAGCAAUCAACACAAUUAAUUUCUAUAGAGUAAUAUUGAGAAUUAUUUACUAACCGAUGAUAUUUUUGAUAACCUUUUUCAGACAUACACUUUGAGGAUUAUGAUCCUUAAUUAGUGUUUCUCCCCUAGUUUCAGACACUAUAUUAUCCGACAAUUCAAGAUUAAGCAUUCUAGGUUCCAUUAUCUUUGCAUUCGGAUGAUUUGUUGUCUCAAUAUCAUCCAGUGUAGGUAAAGUUUACCAAAAAUUAUUUUCUUUAUUAGUACAAUGAUUCUCCCCUUGAAAAUAAUUUUUAAUGAAAGAAAGGUUGAUUUUUGACAAAGUUAGACAUCCAUACUUUUAAAAAAAUUUCUUUGUUUAUUGGGUUAAAACAUUUGUAACCUUUAUAAUUUGAAGCAUAGCCAAGAAAAACACAUUUUUCACUUUUAGGAUCCAAUUUGGAACAAAAAAUACUUGGGAUGUAGGCACAACAGAGACAACAACAAAAAAUUGAAGACACGACUAACAUCCAUCAUCUUCUUGUAGUGCUUGCAGUCCUCGGGGGAAUUCCACUCAUAUAUAUUGAAUAUAUUUAGAUCUUGCCAAAUACGCUCGAGACAAUUGAAGCAUUUGGUGACAAAAUCUUCAGCUAGUCGAAUUUCUCCAAGCUGGAGAGUUAAUUCAUAAAUUUGGAAUUUAUUGUCUAAAUCAGAGUACACCUGAGAGACUUUCCCAAAGAUCUUUUGCAGUAGCAUAAGAGAGAUAGGUUGCACCUAUCCCUUCAGUCAUGAAAUUGACUAACCAUGUCAUGACCAUGAAAUUUUGAGCAUCCCAAGUGUCAUAGUUUGGCCUUUCUUGUCUGAUUGUUUCUUGUCUCCAUUGAUGUAUCCAAUUUUUUUUCUCCCCUUAGAUACAAACGAACAGACUGUGACUAGCGAAAAUAAUUAGGACCUUUCAGCCGAAUUGUUGUGAUCUGAACAGAUGGUGGUUUUCAUGCUAUGUCCUAAAUGGUUGAGGUAUUUCAUACUUAGGUGAAGAAUGUUUGGGUGAAUGCUGGGGUAUUUCAUACUUAGCUCAAAAGACAUAAAUCUAACAAACAAGUCUAAUCAUCUAAGAUAUUAUAUAUUCACAUAUCAUGAUAGUCAUAUAAAAGGCAACUUCAGCACGGACUUUGUUCAAAAUAAGUAGCUCAAAAAACAUAAAUCUAACAAACAAGUCUAAUCAUCUAAGAUAUUAAUAUAUAUUCACGUAUCAUGAUAGUCAUAUAAAAGGAAACUUCAGCUCGUAAGAUCUUAAGAUCUUAAGACCCAACACUCGAUCUUGAUCACAAAGUGCACGAAAAAAGUUUUUUCUCAAAUCGUAGCGCUAAAAGGCAACUUCAACAUGUAAGAUCGUAAGAUUUUAAGACCCAACACUCGAACUUGAGUACACUGAGGGACAUACUAAUAAACACUAAUCUAGACUGAGAAUCAAGGUAAUUAUUCUCCCUAUAAAUGCUAAUUCUAAAUAUGGUAAAGGUAGAAGGAGACAUCUGUCAUGAGCUGUACAAAACAUAAUCUGUUGAUUAUGUACUAAUCUCUCUAAUAACUACCAAUAGUGUUACAUAAGAUGUAUAUAAUAACUACCAAUAGUGUUACAUAAGAUGUAUAUAUAAACAAUAGGAAGGAGACAGACUAAGCCUCCUAACAUUAAUUCUUUUUUUUAAUCACUCCUAUAAUUCCUAUGUAUAUAAAAGGAAAGAAUUAUGUCAUAAAGGAUGCGGAUCAAUAAAGGAUGCGGAUCAGUAGAUGAUUUGGAAUUAACUUCAUAUCUAUAUUCAACAUUUGUCACAUAUAAGAGUGAGAGAUAUGUUCUCUUAUAUAUUUCUUUUUUAAUAAGACCUCAGAUAGAAUUUUUUUUUUAAAUUGUAAAGUUUUACUUGGAGAAAAUUUAACCUAGAGUAUUGAUUAUGGAUGUAAGAGUCAAGAGGAGAAUAAAGAGAAUAAAUUAAAUGGGAGUUCCACGAGUCAAGUGGUGAUAAUUGAAGAGUGAAAAACAAAGGAGUUUUAACACAAGAUCUUGGAGGGGGAUUUCGACAACCACAUGAAAGUGUAAAUGAUAUGUGGAGUAAAAUGACAUAAGUGAUUAGGAAAGUAGCGAUAUAAAUGUUGGUAUAAUUUAGAGAUUUUGUACCUAUGGGUAAAGAAUCGUGGUGGUGGAACAAAAAUUUUCCAAAGUAAAGUCAUAGUAAAAAAAAACGAAUAUUUUAAAAGAAUGGGCUAUGUGUAAAUAUCCCUAAAUUUGGGAAAAGUAUAAGAAAGAUAGGAGGGAGACAAAAAAGGCGAUGAGUGAAGAAAGAACUCAAGCUUUUGACGGAUAACAUCAAUCUUUAGGGACCAAGGAGGGAGAAAAAUCUAUAUAUAAGUUUAUUAAGGAAAGAGAAAGAAAGACGAGAUUUGAAUUAAGUGAAGUGUGUUAAAGAUGAAAAAGGAAAAAUUUUGGUUCAGGAAAAUGAUAUAAAGGAUAGGUGAGCAAAGUAUUUCAAUAAUUUAUUUAAGGAAGGAUAUAAUAUCUCACCAGACUCUAACAGACUUAACAUUAAAGAAGAGGAUUGAAACUAUAACUACUUUCGUCGGAUUCAAAAACGAGGUAAAAGAAAACAUUGAAAAGGAUGAGUAAUAGUAAGGCGGUUGGACCAGACAAGCUACCUAUUGGAGUGUGAAAAUUUAUUGGAGAUAGAAGCAUUGAAUGGCUCAUCGAAUUUUAACGAAAUUAUGAGGUCAAAGCAAAUUUCGGAUGAAUGGAGAAGCACUUUAGUUUCAAUCUAUAAGAACAAGGGGGGUAUCCAAAAUUGUGCAAAUUAUAAGGGCAUUAAACUUAUGAGCUUUACCAUGAAGUUAUGGGAAAGAGCGAUUGAACAAACACUAAGAAAAGAGACUCAAGUUAUUGAUAAUCAAUUUGGUUUUGUGCCUAGGAGGUUAACCAAGACUUCCACUUAAUUUUCAUUGACUUAGAGAAGGCGUAUGAUAGAGUGCCUACAGAGAUUUUGUGGAAAACCCUAGAGGAGAAAGAGGUUAAGAUUGCUUGUAUUCGAGUUAUCUAAGAUAUGUAUGAUGAGGUAUCGAUUAGUGUGCAAACAUGAAGUGAGGGACAGACGAUUUUCCCAUAACAAUAGUUUUGCACCAAGGUUCAACCCUAAGCCUUUACAUUUUUAUUUAAUUUUGGAUGUGCUCAUAAAACACAUCCAAAAGCUAGCAUCGAGAUGUAUGUUUUUUGUAGAUGAUAUAGUCUUACUUGAAGAGGUGGAUGAGGAUUUAAAUGAGAGGUUGGAGACUUGGAGACAAGUCUUAGAACAUAUGGUUGUCGCUCAAGCACAAGUAAAACGGAGGACAUGAAAUGUAAGUUUAGCAAAAAAGAGAAGCGUUUCUAACCAAGAGGUGAAAGUUGAAGACCAUAUUAUACCAAUUCACGCAGUUUAAAUAUCUUGGGUCUAAAAUAAAAAACAAUGGAGAAAUAGAAGAUGUAAACCAUCAAAUUCAAGCUGAGUGGUUGAAAUGGAAGAGGGUCUUAAAGGUUUUAUAUUACACAAAAGUACCGCUCAAAACUUAAGGAAUUUUUUUAUCAAGCAACGGUAAGACCUGCGAUGUUGAAUGAGACAAAAUGUUGGGGGGUAAGAACCAACAUGAGAAUAAAGUAAGUGUAACAUAGAUAAUGAUGGUGUGAUGGAUUUGUACUAGACAAGAUAUGAUUGUUAAUGACAAUAUUAGAGGGAGUGUUGGAAAAUAGGCUUAAGUGGUUUGAGCAUGUAGAUAGGAUAUCUGUAGGUUUUGUUGUAAGGGGAGUAGAUCAGAUGAAAAAGAGUAAAACAAAUAGAGGUAGAGGAAGACUUAGAAAAACAAUAAGAAAAACUAUUAAGAAAGAUCUCGAGAUUAAUAAAUUGGAUAGAAACAUGUUCUUUGAUAGAAUAUUAUGGCGUAAUUUGUUUCAUGUAGGCAACCCCACUUAAUAGGAUAAAGCUUACUUAAUAGGAUAAGACUUGGUUAUUGUUGUUCUAAAUAGUUUUUUCUCCCGCUCCUUGUUAUAAUUAUCAAAUAUCACUUUCAAUUGUCGUAUGUUCUUAAAUUUACUUUUUAGGAUCUAGAAAUUUAACUGUUCUCAUCUUUACAUUUCAAUCCAUUUUAACUUAUUUUUUUUUUAGACUCCUCGUUAGUGGGAUGACUUAGCUUGGGAAAAUUAGAAAGAAAACAUAUUAUAUAAGGGUAAAAGGACUAUAUCAUUAUUGCCCAUGUCAAGUGUAGUGUGGCCCUUACUCCAAUUAUGAGGUUGCUUACAUGAGAGAUAGAGUUUAUCAAGACAGAGUGUUAAACACUAAGUGGGAGAGAGAAUCCAAAUGAAGCAUUAUAAUGCAUGAUAAGUGUUCAUCUGUCACAGAAGAGUGGGGGAAAAAGAAAGUUUUUAUAAAAUUUAUUUUUGAAUUGUUGAGUGGUAUUCUUCUUGACAGCCUUUUGGUCGUGCACAUGUGGUUUUGAGCAGAUGGCAUUGGUUAGGAUGGUUCAUGUUUGUUAAAGCCUGAGGCUGUGUAUUAGGUUCUUAGUUCUCAUGGAGCGCAUUGAACUUAUGCUAUUUGAGGGGAUCAAAUAUUUCUAAUCGGGAUCCAAUUGAUAACGAAGAUAUGAAUGUUUUAGGACAUUGCAGUCCUGAUUCUCACAAGUAAUUUGUAAACACCUAUAUGACCAACAUCCAGCUAAUACUACUUGGUCUCAAUUCUUUCCUCAUUCAUUAGCUAAAAUAGCUCCCUAGCUUCAUUGUUGUUUCUUAUUUAUUCCUUGGAAUUUGACUUUUUUCUUUCACUAUACUCUCCCCUAUAUGCUUGUAAAUAAUAAAUUUAUACAUGUGACAUAUCCACGGUAAAGAAGCUCUGUUUUUAA